UGCAAGUCGAACGGUAACAGGUCUUCGGACGCUGACGAGUGGCGAACGGGUGAGUAAUACAUCGGAACGUGCCCAGUCGUGGGGGAUAACUACUCGAAAGAGUAGCUAAUACCGCAUACGAUCUGAGGAUGAAAGCGGGGGACCUUCGGGCCUCGCGCGAUUGGAGCGGCCGAUGGCAGAUUAGGUAGUUGGUGGGAUAAAAGCUUACCAAGCCGACGAUCUGUAGCUGGUCUGAGAGGACGACCAGCCACACUGGGACUGAGACACGGCCCAGACUCCUACGGGAGGCAGCAGUGGGGAAUUUUGGACAAUGGGCGAAAGCCUGAUCCAGCAAUGCCGCGUGCAGGAUGAAGGCCUUCGGGUUGUAAACUGCUUUUGUACGGAACGAAAAAGCUCCUUCUAAUACAGGGGGCCCAUGACGGUACCGUAAGAAUAAGCACCGGCUAACUACGUGCCAGCAGCCGCGGUAAUACGUAGGGUGCGAGCGUUAAUCGGAAUUACUGGGCGUAAAGCGUGCGCAGGCGGUUAUGUAAGACAGAUGUGAAAUCCCCGGGCUCAACCUGGGAACUGCAUUUGUGACUGCAUGGCUAGAGUACGGUAGAGGGGGAUGGAAUUCCGCGUGUAGCAGUGAAAUGCGUAGAUAUGCGGAGGAACACCGAUGGCGAAGGCAAUCCCCUGGACCUGUACUGACGCUCAUGCACGAAAGCGUGGGGAGCAAACAGGAUUAGAUACCCUG
RNAcentral lists this ribosomal RNA (736 nucleotides) under uncultured beta proteobacterium. RNAcentral's name for it is "bacterial SSU rRNA". It matches the Rfam family "Bacterial small subunit ribosomal RNA", at positions 56 to 789 of the family's 1533-position model. The record is from RNAcentral. Lineage: Bacteria; Pseudomonadati; Pseudomonadota; Betaproteobacteria.